Non-coding RNA from Phrynosoma platyrhinos (Desert horned lizard), 72 nucleotides. The record is from the annotation of a GenBank genome assembly. NCBI's taxonomy places the organism in Eukaryota, Metazoa, Chordata, Lepidosauria, Squamata, Phrynosomatidae.
GCCAGUGUGGUUUAGUGGUUUGAGCGUUGGACUAUGAAUCUGAAGACCUGGGUACUAAUCCCGUCUCAGCCA